RNAcentral lists this unclassified non-coding RNA (332 nucleotides) under soil metagenome. RNAcentral describes it as "partial contains 5.8S ribosomal RNA, internal transcribed spacer 2, and large subunit ribosomal RNA". The stretch from base 1 to 120 matches the Rfam family "5.8S ribosomal RNA", at positions 35 to 154 of the family's 154-position model. The record is from RNAcentral.
GAUGAAGAACGUAGCAAAAUGCGAUAAGUAAUGUGAAUUGCAGAAUUCAGUGAAUCAUCGAAUCUUUGAACGCACAUUGCGCCCGCCAGUAUUCUGGCGGGCAUGCCUGUCCGAGCGUCAUUUCAACCAUCAAGCCUCGUGCUUGUGUUGGGGACCUGCGUCCGACGCAGGCCCUGAAAACCAGUGGCGGGCUCGCUGUCCACACCGAGCGUAGUAACUAACCUCGCUAUGGAGUGGCGCGGGCGCCUGCCGUAAAACCCCCAAUUUCACAAGGUUGACCUCGGAUCAGGUAGGAAUACCCGCUGAACUUAAGCAUAUCAAUAAGCGGAGGA